GGCUGCGCGCAGAACUGGCGGAUAACGUGGAAAACCACGGGGGACUGCGCACGAUUGCUGCCUUUUGCCGACCGCCUGGGCAACGUCU
RNAcentral lists this non-coding RNA (88 nucleotides) under Alicyclobacillus sp. RNAcentral's name for it is "ZTP sequence". It matches the Rfam family "ZMP/ZTP riboswitch aptamer (pfl RNA motif)". Rfam says of the family: Previously known as pfl RNA. ZMP is also known as AICAR. The record is from RNAcentral. Lineage: Bacteria; Bacillati; Bacillota; Bacilli; Caryophanales; Alicyclobacillaceae.